This is a long non-coding RNA of Cucurbita maxima (winter squash), 155 nucleotides long. RefSeq lists it as uncharacterized. NCBI's taxonomy places the organism in Eukaryota, Viridiplantae, Streptophyta, Magnoliopsida, Cucurbitales, Cucurbitaceae. The transcript has 2 exons. The record is from RefSeq and is a predicted model, not a curated record.
UAUGCUUUGAAGAUGUUCUCAAGGAUUUCAACGAGCAUUAGAUUGCUCUCCCUCCUUUCACUAAGCCACCUCUCUAUAUAUAGGGGGGUGUUACUAUCUCUUAACUAUGAAAAUGGCAUAGGCCACAAUAAAAUAAUCACAUAGUUACCUAUAUA